This 304-nucleotide ribosomal RNA is filed under the name Mammaliicoccus sciuri. RNAcentral describes it as "bacterial SSU rRNA". It matches the Rfam family "Bacterial small subunit ribosomal RNA", at positions 775 to 1067 of the family's 1533-position model. Lineage: Bacteria; Bacillati; Bacillota; Bacilli; Caryophanales; Staphylococcaceae. The record is from RNAcentral.
UAGAUAGAUAACGUGUAAGUCCACGCCGGUAACCGAAAUGAAGUGCUAAGUGUUAGGGGGUUUCCGCCCCUUAGUGCUGCCGCUAACGCAUUAAGCACUCCGCCUGGGGAGUACGACCGCAAGGUUGAACUCAAAGGAAGUGACGGGGACCCGCACAAGCGGGUGAGCAUUUGGUUUAAUUCGAAGCAACGCGAAGAACCUUACCACAUCUUGACAUCCUUUGACCGCUCUAGAGAUAGAGUCUUCCUCGCUUCAGUGAGGGACAAAGUGACAGGUGGUGCAUGGUUGUCGUCAGCUCGUGCCG